This 492-nucleotide ribosomal RNA is filed under the name uncultured bacterium. RNAcentral describes it as "partial 16S ribosomal RNA". It matches the Rfam family "Bacterial small subunit ribosomal RNA", at positions 29 to 507 of the family's 1533-position model. The record is from RNAcentral.
AGUGAACGCUGGCGGUAGGCCUAACACAUGCAAGUCGAACGGCAGCACAGUAAGAGCUUGCUCUUACGGGUGGCGAGUGGCGGACGGGUGAGGUAUACAUCGGAAUCUACUUUUUCGUGGGGGAUAACGUAGGGAAACUUACGCUAAUACCGCAUACGACCUACGGGUGAAAGCAGGGGAUCUUUGGACCUUGCGCGAUUGAAUGAGCCGAUGUCGGAUUAGCUAGUUGGCGGGGUAAAGGCCCACCAAGGCGACGAUCCGUAGCUGGUCUGAGAGGAUGAUCAGCCACACUGGAACUGAGACACGGUCCAGACUCCUACGGGAGGCAGCAGUGGGGAAUAUUGGACAAUGGGCGCAAGCCUGAUCCAGCCAUACCGCGUGGGUGAAGAAGGCCUUCGGGUUGUAAAGCCCUUUUGUUGGGAAAGAAAAGCAGCAGGUUAAUACCCCGCUGUUCUGACGGUACCCAAAGAAUAAGCACCGGCUAACUUCGUG